This 562-nucleotide ribosomal RNA is filed under the name uncultured soil bacterium. RNAcentral describes it as "bacterial SSU rRNA". It matches the Rfam family "Bacterial small subunit ribosomal RNA", at positions 55 to 611 of the family's 1533-position model. The record is from RNAcentral.
AUGCAAGUCGAACGAGAAUGUGUAGCAAUACACAUGUACAGUGGCGAACGGGGGGAAUACAUGGGUAACCUACCCUCGAGUGGGGAAUAACCAGCCGAAAGGUUGGCUAAUACCGCGUACGCUUCCGAGACUGCGGUUUCGGAAGGAAAGCGAUACCGUGGGUAUCGCGCUCUUGGAUGGGCUCAUGCCCUAUCAGCUUGUUGGUGAGGUAACGGCUCACCAAGGCAUCGACGGGUAGCUGAUCUGAGAGGAUGAUCAGCCACACUGGCACUGCGACACGGGCCAGACUCCUACGGGAGGCAGCAGUAAGGAAUAUUGCGCAAUGGGCGAAAGCCUGACGCAGCGACGCCGCGUGGGGGAUGAAGGUCUUCGGAUUGUAAACCCCUUUCGGGAGGGAAGAUGGGAUGGGGUAACCCAUUCGGACGGUACCUCCAGAAGCAGCCACGGCUAACUUCGUGCCAGCAGCCGCGGUAAUACGAAGGUGGCAAGCGUUGUUCGGAUUUACUGGGCGUACAGGGAGCGUAGGCGGUUGGAUAAGCCCUCCGUGAAAUCUCCAGGCUUA